This 294-nucleotide long non-coding RNA is filed under the name Vitis vinifera (wine grape). RNAcentral's name for it is "long non-coding RNA (VVIN_LNC002445)". Lineage: Eukaryota; Viridiplantae; Streptophyta; Magnoliopsida; Vitales; Vitaceae. The record is from RNAcentral.
AAGGUGUCAUUAAACCUAUGCAACAGUAUUGGUUUCAGGCAAAGAUAUUCUUUCUUGAAGUCAUUUGUGCUAUUCCAAGAACCUGGCAACACCAAUCAAGAACAUGAUGCACCUCAAUUACAAAAAAUGGGGCCCCCACCUAAAGACGUAAGACCAAACUUGCAGGAACUCAAACUUAUAAUCCUGCAGAAAUUAAAUGCUAUUAAUUUGUCUCCAUGACAAAAACCUUGGGUUUUUUUUUUCUCUUUUUCUUAGAAUAAACAGAGGAGCUUGGAUGAUUCCUUACAAUCUUGG